AAAGUGACUCAGAGCAGGGGGCCUGAAGAAUGGCUCUUUUGUUUACAACACACCCAACAGGAAUCUCAGGUCAUCGUAAUAAUGGAAACAAAACUUGUGGCCUCCCUAUGAACAAAUGCCCUACAGGA
This 128-nucleotide small nucleolar RNA is filed under the name Microcebus murinus (gray mouse lemur). RNAcentral's name for it is "Small nucleolar RNA SNORA11 (ENSMICG00000022223.3)". It matches the Rfam family "Small nucleolar RNA SNORA11". Rfam says of the family: U107 (SNORA11) is a member of the H/ACA class of snoRNAs that guide the sites of modification of uridines to pseudouridines. This snoRNA was identified by RT-PCR from blood cells and its expression confirmed by Northern blot analysis. The record is from Rfam by way of RNAcentral. Lineage: Eukaryota; Metazoa; Chordata; Mammalia; Primates; Cheirogaleidae.